This is a long non-coding RNA of Triticum aestivum (bread wheat), 13221 nucleotides long. RefSeq lists it as uncharacterized. The record is from RefSeq and is a predicted model, not a curated record. The transcript has 9 exons. NCBI's taxonomy places the organism in Eukaryota, Viridiplantae, Streptophyta, Magnoliopsida, Poales, Poaceae.
UUUGUAAACUUUUCUUAAUGCAACGACACAUCUAUCCUGUGUAUUCAAGAAUAAUAAUCUUGAGCCCAAUUCCCUUAUCUGUUUCUACAACUAGAUGACCCGGUGCGCCAAAUGGCGCAGAGACCCAAUUGAAACCAUGUUCGUGUUGAGAAAUAUUUGCCUUUUUUAGUAACUUUAUGUUUGAUCAAGCAUAGAGACCAUGUCAAACCCGAAGUGUUUUGAACGUGUAUUUGGACAAUGUGCCAUUUGGCUCUAUGUUACCCAAGUAAGAUGCAAGGUCCAAAUUCAAGCAUCAAGGGUAAUGAUUCUAAACCUUUUGUAACAGAAACCUUUGCAUUUGUUAGUAACUUCGAGUUUUAGCAAGCACUGAUGGUAAUAAUUCUAAACCUUAUAUAUGGAAAAUUAAGGAAUACCUAUGUUCAAACUAUAUACUUUAGCAUGUGAAACUAAUUCAAACUAUACAAGUUGAAAUAUUUAGAGACCGGUCAUAAAAUUGCCGGCUCCACUCUACUGCGACGCGAGAGCCGGCUUGCUGCACCUUCCCCACAUAAUUGGCCAGAAGGUAUUUUAAAAAUUUGAAUUGUCUACAUUAGUAUUUCUUAGACAUCAUAUAGGAGAUGAGAGAACAGUAAAAAAAUUUAACUAUGUACCUUAGCUAUCUAAGACUAAUGAAAACUGCAAUCUUGAAAGAGGAAAACAACAUUGGAAAUCCUAAUGUUCCUGGUCCUGAAUAGUGUAUUCGUCUAAAUAUGUAGUUGAUCACCCGGUGCAAAGUAAGAAACUUCUCAUGAUAUAACGCUGGGAACCUAAAAGCAAGUGUAUGAUUUUGCAGCUUAGAAUGUGUGAACUCACAACUCAGACAAACAACUCAGACAACUCAGCUUAGAAUGUACACGCCUAAACGCUGGGAAGAACCUAAAAGUAAAAAACAUUCCAAGGGAAAAUGUGUGAACUCACAACUCAGACAAACUACUAACAGGGCCAUGUAUGAUUUUGCAGCUUAGAAUCUACAUAAAACAGAACAGUGCAGGUAACCUCUACCUAAAUCUCACUACUAACUUUAUUCGAACAUUUAUUCUUAGAUCAUCGGUACUCCUUUUAUGUACAAAUCAUGCAAUAUCUCUAUAAAUCAAUGCCAAUGCACGCACAUGCACAAGUCUGAACUAAACAAUAUAUAUGAUAUAGCAUAAUUAUAUGAUCUAGAAUAGAUGCAUGAUCAGGGGAGGAAGAUGGUGAAGCCAAAGAUGACUGCUAAAGUUUCGCUACUCCUUGAUCAUCUUGCCCAAAACUAAGGAUAUAGCUUCACCAGAUCUUCGACAAGAAAAUCAUGCAACUCCACCGCAAAUUCAACCCCAGUAGGUCCACCACCGAUAAUCACAAAGUGAAGGAUCUUCCUUCUCUCCUCUUCACUGAGGUUAGGAGGUGACGCCUUUUCAAAGCAGUCUAUCACGCUCUUCCGAAUCUUUCGGGCAUCCUCCACGACCUGGCAUUUACAAUGUGAGGCUGUAAGCACAAGAUAUGACUAAUACUGUACGGUACAAUAACCUAAAGUAUCAAUACCAUAUAUCUCAAGAUUUUGCAGGAAAUUAAACUGUAACUUACAUCUUAGGAUUGAAACAUGAGAAAUAGCAGAACAGUAAAGAGACACACAAUGCCAAUAAGGAUUUGACCUUCAGAAAGUGGCAAUGCCCCAUCACACCAGGAGUGUUGAAUGUAUUCACAGUAACUCCAAGAGCAACAACCAAGUAAUCAUAAUCACCAUGAAAUCACCAUUCCCGUCCAAAUUAGUCCCAACAGCAGAGCGGCAGUGGACGGCUUUCGUCGGAUCGAUCUUGAAGUAAAUAUUCACAUGUUUGAUUGGAGUAUAACCUGGAAACAAAAUCAAUCUCGAAAGAUUACAGAGAGUGAGGAGGCCGCAUGAAGAGAUAGAGAGAGAGAGAGAUAGAGUGUUUGCUGAAGCUCACCUCGGUGUGUUGGCAUCGGAUAUGUGGCGUUCAAUGCGGACUCCUUAGCCAAACACUAAGUUAUUUAAACAGGUCUGAGAUUAUUCUGAGAUGGCAUCGGAUAUGUGAAGCACUCAAUCUCUAUAGCCAAACACUAUGCAUGCUGAAAUAACUAAGUUUUGUUUUCAACAGAAUUCUGAGAUUAUUCCAUUCUCAAGCAAGUACACAUAUGUGAAACACCUUUUCAGUGAAGAAGCAUAGUGGAAGGCACCAUCCAGCCAUGAAUAUAAAUAAAAUGAAAGGACAACCAAUGAAAAUAUCUACAACAAAAGCAUUCCACUAAGAUGGAUCAUUAGUAAAUUACCAGUAUCAUGUAUCCCUUGGCCUCCUCUGCGAGCGCCUGCUAAAGCAGAGUAGAGCAAGUGCCAGGUAGCUUACUUUUUCAAACAAGACACACAAGCAAGAGUGAAGCUGCACGAGAAGAUACCUUAGAGAAGCCAUCAGAGUAACCAGACGGCGAGCUGAAUAAGUGUGUGACCUACUGGUGGCCGCCAUCUGGGUCGGGCCCCUCCUCCCACGGCAGCAAAUCCUCGCGGCACCACUGUCACAUGCUAGGCCUGAAGCGCGACGGAGUUAGGGUGGUGGACAAGAAGGGUGAUGCCACAGCGGACGGCGAGGCUGGGUCAAUAACAUGCCAUCAUAUUUUAAUUCUAUUUUGGCAAAAAGGAGAUAGAAAUGUAGCAACCUGGCAUAACUAAUUAACUAUUCUAAUUUAAGGCGGAUGAUUGCAUGUAAUCACUAAUCGUAAGUAAUCAACAAGGCUAAAUGAUGGAAUGAGAAGAAGAAUGUAUUUCAUGAAAUAGAGCAAGAGACAGAAACUUGAAAGAAAAAAAAAACACUCAACGCUUGCAGGUGAAGCACAUCAUAUAAAAUGGAUGGUCACCAAUCAGGAAAUGUGCAAAAUAUAUAAUGGAAUUUCUUUGAACUAACUACAAUACAUCGUCUGUGAAGCAAGAGUGAGAAAAUACCAGGAACAUGAUUAGUGUAGUAGUUCUCUGGCUCACACUACACAGGAGCUGCUGUUGUGGCAGGAAUUAAGGGCAAGGAGAGUAGGAGCACAUGCUUGCUGGAGAUCCUUGGCUGGCCGGUCGAACACGCAGCCACAGCAGAGAGAGUACCACUACCCUAGAACAAGCACAUGUUAAAUGGAAAAAUCCCUAACAAGAGAUUUUCUUUUGCACAGGAAGUAUCAACGCCUCACAUUUUCAAAGGCAAAGGGGCUCCAAAUUUCACGAAGAUAUAAGAUGCUAAUAUAAGAUGGAAGCAUCCAAGCAAAACUUUCAUUCACCAAAUGAAGUGUCUUAACUUUGGUUGCUCACGCAAAAUUUCUUGUCAGCUGUUGCAUGUUCAGCUGGUGUCACCAACCUUGCAUAUUCGUUGUCCUUUAUGUUUUGCCCAGAAUGCUCAAUUCCAUUAUUGCAUGAUGCCACAGCUGAAGAGCUUGGCAUUCUUGCGACCGUCUUACCGCCUCUGUUUACAAGCCAAGAAAUAUUAGGAAAGAAAAUUGAUAAGGCACAAAAGCAAAUAUUAUUUAUUUGUGUUACAUUUGUAGGAUUAAGGUUGACAUAUGACUACCCUUGUCUAAAUUAGAGUUGCACAUGCCCAACUCCAUAUUAUUUCCGUUACAGCUAUUUACACACAUAACUGAACUCGCACUCAAAUGCACUGGUUUGGUGGCAUGGUGUAGUGUAACAAGCAGUCGCUCAAUCAUAAUAUUCAUAGUAGCUUGGAUGUGAAAUUGGAUACAUCAUUAGAUUCUUCUCAAAGCAAAAUUUUGAGUAAUGCUACUCAUAUCCUAGCUAGUCAAAUUAGGAAUGGAGAUCUGUGCUACAAGGAUUCCUAAAUGAAUCCUAGUCUCAUGAAACACCUGUUAUCUUCAUGAAACACAUGUUAUCUUUAAAACCAUGAUACUUGGCCACAGGGAACCAAAGCAACGAUCCAAAGGAAAUAAAAUUAUGUAAUCUGAAGCCAAUAUCAGAGUGUAACAUACUCAUAAGCUGCCUGAAUCGUUCUUGAAUCUCAUUCACCUUUCUACACUCUUGAAUCAACAUCCAACCAUUUUGAUCACAAAUCCCAACCUCACGCCACAUAUCAAACUAAAAACUGCAGACAUAUGUUUGCUAAGGAAACUGAGAUUUACGUAAAGCUCAGACUUACUAAGAAUUUCAAAAAGAUCUCUUCUCUUUGUUGUCAUUCCUCCUAAAUUCAGAAUGCAUGGGUCAUAGAAGAACACUCAUUCUUUUAGCACAAACUCAUGGGAAAAACUGGAUGUGGCUUGAGGAGAUGCCUCACCUUGAACCGGCGCACAGAUCGCCUCCGCCUAGCACGAGUGCCUUGUCCAGGGAGGAGGCCUGAGCCUCUGACGAUGACAUCGCCAAGCAGUCGCUCAAUCAUAAUAUUCAUAGUAGCUUGGAUGUGAAAUUGGAUACAUCAUUAGAUUCUUCUCAAAGCAAAAUUUUGAGUAAUGCUACUCAUAUCCUAGUAAAAGUUAAUAAAAUAAGCAAAUGUAAAAGCAGCAAAUAAUUCUUCAUAUGAGCUAUAAUAGGAAAUCGUAAUUACAGUAAAGUUUCAUAACAAUAUACGUCGCAGCCCAGAUAUAUUGUUACUAUGCUUUUCACACCCCAAGGCUUCCUCGACGCUGGCUUCUUGUUCUCUCAAACUUGGAAAGAGAAGUUUGCAUACUGAAAGUGAAUAAUACGAAUGCAAGGAUUUUACUCGGCUUUAGAGUGCCUGUGGACCCGAUGCUACCCUGCUCCCCCAGCACGGCGGCCUGUUGGGCGGCGAGGAAGAGGUAGCAGCGGCCCGAGCUGGCUCGGGAUGCAAUCUUCAAGUAUAUAUUGUGACCACCUUAUUUGUUGAUACUAAGAAAUGUAAGAAGAAGCUAGAGUAGUGAAGGUUUAGAUGUUGUACCUGGUCAGCAAAUCUACACUACACUGUUUGGAAGAGCGUCGGACGGAUCCAGCCAUUUCUGACCAGAGACGCACCAAAGUCUGACCUAACAACCCCUCUUUUCUUCUCUCGCCUCCUCACAUAUUAAAAAUAUUGCGUAUUAAAUUUCUUUAGCAAAGGAAAGCUCAAUGAGAAUUGAAUAACUUUGAAUACAUAAGCGACAAUUAAAUGCGGCAUUCAACCAAGGCAAAAAUUUAAUGUUUUGUAUGCCUUCUUUUUACUGUCGGCAAAGCCGAGAACACAUCCUCAGUCACCGCGGACAAAAUAAAACAAGACACAUUACUGAGAUUAAACACCAUGGCAGAGUACCAUUCAGUCUUAUGUGGGAUUUAGGCAAGUGUGCUACUGUAGUAAGAAAAUAAAUAAAAAGAUUAAUAUGCAAAUUGGCCUAUAGUUUAAAGAAUCAAACUCAAAAGGUAACUUCCUACCAUAUCUUCAGUGAAGAAAUUUAACUUGAGCAUAAGAGGGGAAUUUAUUGCUACACCUAUAUGCUUUUGAUCCUUGCACAGUUAGUGCAGGACAGUCACUGCUUUGAUUUCUUCCCUGGCCCAACUCGCUUUGAACCACCGGAGUUCCUUAAUUUCAAGAUGUGUAUAUAGACAAUUUGAAUGACUAUAUGAAUUGAAAGUACAUAGAUAAACAUAUAAGAGAAGAUGCAGCACCAGCACCUGUUGUUCUUGGGCGUCUGAAUCUGAUCAUCCUUUUCUUCAGCAUCAAGCGAAGAAGCAUCAGCCUGAGCAUCAGGGGUGGCCUGAAUCGCAAAACAAAACGGAUCAGAAUGCAAAGAUGUGUAUAUACAGCUCGGCUGCUGGAGCACAGGGUGCAACAGUUUUGUUGGCCUCACCUGCUUUGUCAAAACCUAAGAAAAGAAAACCAAAUCUUCUCUUCUAACUUCAAGUCACCAAUAAGAGAGGAAGCAGUUGGUACAGAAUAACUGCUGCAACUACGAAAAGAAAAACUGGAAAUUUUACUUAUGCACAGUAUAGUGCCUAGCCAUCAAUUGAAUAUAGGUGUAGUACAACAGCUCUUACAGACAUUAGCACAAACAAUUUGCAGGCAAACUUAUACCUGGCAGAACACAACCUAAGAGAAGGCAAAAUUCCACCCCCAAAACAUAGGCAGAAUGCAUAUGUAAGUGCAAAUCGCCAUGGUUAUUGGCCUAUCAACCAACAACAGUUCAGAGAGACAAAUGCUAGCAAGGGAUUGCCUAGAAUUUUGCCAUAUGCUCUUUUCUUUGUCCAAAUAACUUCAUAUUUGGUGCUGAAGUUACUAAUUCGUCUUGGAAGAAGGAAUCCAUCAUGAGAUGGAAAGGAGAGAAUAAAAUCACUGACUAUCAAUUGAGAGAGGGGAGAAAGGGAGUCGAGCUUACCUCGAUGUUGUGUAUCGUGGCGUCGAGCAAGAGCCGCUGGUGGUGCCGUCAUGGAAGGAGGUGCUCCAUCGAGGAGCCACCACUGGUGCCAUGGCAUCAGAAGAGGUGCAGCCAGGGAUGAGACGAGGAUACACCGCUAGACUCCUUCUUCCUCUUCCCCUGUGAGAUCCUUCUUUCACUCCCUCGAUUCACCUCUUCUCCUGCUCCCUCUCACUUGCUGCCCUCCAUCCUCGGCGGAUCCACGUCGCUGGAAGCUGGUGGGGCGAGGUGGCCGAAGGAGGAGGCGUGUGGAUCUGGGCCGGCCGGAUCAGCAACCCCGGCUCCUCCUGUUGAGCACGGAGGUCCUCAUUUUCUCUUUCUCCCGCAGGGACCGAUCCAUGGCUGGAUCGAUUCGAGCGUCGCCCUUCCCUUGCAGGUCGCUGCCGCGCCCGCACGCCUCGGGUUCGGUGAGAUCCGGGAUGACGAGGGGGGAUGGGAUGCGUGAGGGGAAGGUCGCCGCCGCGCCACCAUCUCCCCCCUCCUCCUCCGCCACCAGAGGGCGCCGCCGCCACCAUCUCCCCCCUCCUCCGCCGCCAGAGGGCGCCGCCGCCACCAUUGUCGAGGGAGUGGAGGGGAUGAGGAGCUUGGGAAGGCGGCUGUAGGGGGAAAAGAUUUAGGCCUUCUUUGGUUCAUAAGAUUGGAAAACCAUAAGAAUAGGAAAGUUAUAGAAAAUGAGAUGAUAUGUAUCUUAAAUCCUAUGCAUAGGAAUAGAAAAAAAGAUGCCCUUUGAUUCACAUCAUAGGAUUUUUUCCAUUGAGUCUAAGCUAAUGUUUAUUUUCCUAUGAAAUGUGAAGGUUGAAGGAUAGGAAAAAUUCCUCCAUAAAAAUAGGAUUUUAUUACAAACCAAAGAGCUCUGAAGGAAUUUUUCCUAUAGAAAUCUUAGGCCUUCUUUAGUUUGUAUGAAUUUUGUAGGAACUCUAUAUGAUAGAAUUUGCUAAGGAAAAAUUCCUUUGAAGCCCUUUGAUUUAUAGGAAUGGAUUUCUAUUCCUAUGUAGGAUAGGAAUCCAUCCUUCACAUUUUGGAGGAAAAAAACAUUAGUCUAGACUCAAUGGAAAAUUUCCUAUCCUAUGCAUCAAAUGGCAUCUCUUUCUCUAUAGGAAUUGAGAUGCAUGUCAUCUCACUUCCUACGAUUUUUCUAUUCCUAUAAAAUUAUUAUCCUAUGAACCAAAGGAGGCCCUAUCCUAUGAAAAUUUUACAAAAUUCCUUCGAACCAAAGGAGGCCUUAGGGUUGGAGACUGAGGGAACGGGAGGAGAAAGCGGACGGGCGCGAGGCUCAUCACGGCGCAGUGGUUUUUCCCCUCAUGUGGUGCGCUGCACCCCCACGCGCGGGCGCGGUGCGUGGUUUUUUAGCCGAGAUAAUUGCAUCUAUAGUCCUCGUACUUGCUGGUCACAUCCAAUUCAGUCUUGAAACUUGUGUAUUGCUUCAAUACGGUCCCGGUACAUGAAAAUACGUGAUCAAUACGGUCCCUGAGAUUGAAACGUCAGUCCUGGCUCUACACGUCACAUACGUAUCUCGUAUUUCUGUAGUGAAGACCACGUUUAUAUGCGGCCCAUAUGUCAGUGGGCCGAAUGGGCCGAGAAAUAAAAUGAAAAAAAGGCAAGGGGGAUUCGAACCCACUAGCUGUGCCCAACCAGUACCCGAGCCGGCCACCAGACCAAGUGUGUGUUCUUGUUUAACAUGGGGAUGCACCAUAUAUUAUAAGCAUAUCACUAUUUCUUUAAAAAAUUAUGUGUGAAUUUUAAAAUAUUCAUGAGUUUUUAUUUUAAAAAAAGUUCAUCGAUUCACAAAAUGUUCAUCUACUACCACUAUAAAAAAAAGAGAGGGCGAAGAACCAAACAAUCAGACCCAUUCAUCAACAAGAUUUAAUGGCUCUUAAUCCUCCAAUGUUUAACCCUCUGGUGUUUAACGAUACAAACCACGCAUCAAGCCACUAACCCUACUCUGUCGUUCAAAAAAAACUUUGGCAACAACGCACGAGGCACGACCUACUGCCCCCUCCUCCCAACGAACGGCACAACACGGGCGGUUCCUCCCGUGCGCCGCUCGACGCCCCGCUGUUCCUCCAGCAGCCGUUCGCCGCCGCUGUUCGCCGCCCGUCACGCCCUUCGCCGCAGGUCGCCACGGGCCGCCUCGCCCUUCGCCGCCGGAGCCGUCACGCCCUUCGCACUUCCCUCUCCCGAACUGCCCACCACUUCUCACGGGCGCCCUCUCUCCCGGCCUCCUCGCCGCCUUCCCGACACCCUCGCCAACGCGUUCUCAGCGGGGCUCCUCGUCCUCUCGCUGGACCUGGCACACUCCUCGGCGCCGUCGCCCCCACCCCCCACCCCGGGUCGCCGUCGCCAUUAUGCCCUCGCCGGCGCGCUUGUCGACGGUCUCGCUAAUCUGCAGGCGGAUGCCAAUCUGCAGCAGCAACACCAGCUUCUGCGCGCGGGCAGACGCUAAUCUGCAUUCAAGAGAAGAUGCAUGUACACUCGUGGCUCAUUUAUUUGUUUUACUGUUUGUUCUGUAAGUAUUCUCUAAUGCCAGCUAUAAUAGUGCUGCGGCGAACACUGUCCAUGCUGCUAGCGAUGUACGUGUGAGGAACAGAACGGAGCCAUGGUGGAGAACGUCAGCACUGUUGUGGCUUUUGUGCUACCCAUAUGAGACUACGUCUCCCUUCACUGAGUAAAUACAUAGGCAAUUCUUCAUCAAUCCCACUACAUGUUUGUCAUAGUUACGAGAUACAGUCGAUUGAUGCUUGCAGCCAUGAUUCAUGUUCAGUUGGACCAAAUCGGACAUGCUAUGAGGUCCUUAUUUCUCAAAGUUGGCUCUGUUUUAGUUAUGGUUUUUACUGUAUCUAAAUAAACAAUUUGAUUUAUGGCUUAUGGUGAAGGCGAGAGGAUAUUCUUUUCAUUAUGGUAAUUGACAGUUACAUAUGGAAGAGUAGAAUUUUCAGUUUCUUAUUUUAUUUUUUACUGUGGAUCGUUAAAGGAGAACUUUAGGUCUUUUAUUUAGGUUGGACAUUAUCAGGAAUCUUGUUCUGUUGCCUCUACUUACUUUACUCUAAGGCAAUAUGUCCUUUUCUGAAUUUAUUCCAAUAUUGCAGAGCGUCUUCUAAUUUUUUUCCUUUUGGCAUGGACUAGGAUUCACAUUGAGUACUACAGUAUUCUGUAGAGUACAUGUCUGAUUAUUAUUAUUUUCCCUAUACAUAUUCUAUGGAUGUGAAAUAGGAUAAUCUGAACUGAAUUUCUAUCAACAGCAAGCGGCUCAACGAGGACACUGAAUUUCUCUCCUGUGAGCGAUCAUUAAUCUCCCACUAUGUUCUGUACUUCCUAUCUUCUGUACUUCCAAGCUCCUAUAUUUUUGAACUAGACAAUCAGCUUCUACAUGUGCUGCACUUGCAAUAUUUCUUCUCAAACUAAACUUCUACACCAAUGCCAUUUUGUGUUUUUUUUAAACUCUGAUGCUAUUGUUUCAGCCAAUAAUAUUGAAAUGUGUUCCCCGAGCAUAUUUGAUAUUUAACUGUGCUUUGGUAAGGUGCCAGGUGUUACUGGACAAGUAGAUACAGAAAUACUUAUCAGUGCUGGUCAGCGGCAAGUAACAUAGGCAACAAUUCAAGUAUCAAAGGAACAUAUGGCUUUUGGAAUUCUGUUAGGAAAAUUCUCUUUUGUAAGAAGGCCAAAUCUUUUCCAAGGAUUUUCAAGUGACCAUGUAUUUCAGGUUUCUGUUCUGUCUCCAUUUCUAGGCUUCCUUGAAGUUCUAUUGAAAUGGCUAUUUUGAGUGUCCGCUAUCAUUUCAAUAUGAAGUAACAUGAGAAGUCAAAAUUUGUUGCAUUUUUUAUCCAUAUAUGAAAAGAAAUGAGUCUUAGCUAAAGUUCGAAACUGUUACGCAUAAAACAACUAAUCUGUCGCUAUAAACAAAAAUUUAAUUGUGUUAUGCUUCAUGAACAUAUUGCCAUCUAUGAGAAGAUAGUUUCGAGAUAUAUAUUUCUAUUUGACUGUCCCUUUGCCUUCUUUUAGUAAAAACAAUAGGGGGACGUGCAGAAAUGAGCCAUAUAUAGCGGAAUGUGCUAUAUGCAACACGAAUUUUACUACUCCCUCCGAUCCAAAUUAAUUGACGCAACUUUAGUUCAACUUUGUACUAAAGUUGUACAAGAGUUGCGUCGAUUAAUUUGGACCGGAGGGAGUACGUAUAUUUUGGAAGUGCAUUUAAAAGAAUCAGUGUAUCAGGACAUACAAUUUUUCAUCAUGCAUUGUGAUUGAUAUGCUACGAUAUAUAAUUUUGAUUGGUUGAUAGGCAUAGUUGUGUUAUUCUCGAAAAAGGUUACAUUGCAUCAGAUUGCUAAGAAUCAGUAACCUCAACAACUAUAAGCUCCUUGUCGAUGUUGUCUCGGAGGGCCAAACUCAGCAACCUGGUGUAUGACCAAAAGAAGAGGCUAAACUUGUGAAAAUCCAUAUCGACUUACCUGCAAGAAUAUGACACUACAAAUGUUCAACGUAUGAUAACAAUAGAACUACUAAUGGUCUAUAACUUCUGUGCACUAGCAUGUGACUUGUACUCUUGGAGGGACAGAAUUAAGCUUUUUAUAGUCAUCUGAUGGGAUGAUAUUUAAUUAUUUCUCUCCGUAUUAGUUGUCCCUUUGCUGAUCACAUGUUUAUUAUGGUGCCUUUUCUUGCUCUUCAAUGAAGCGUCUUGCCUUCUUAUAUCUUGACCUAAUAUUGGGUGUAAUGUACUACAAUUUUUGUAUACAUGUUCUGCUUAACUAAGAUGUGCUUUGAAUCCAAAUCGUAAGCAACUAUCUACUCAUCCUAUGCCGACUUCCAUGUAUGCUCAGUAUAACAUCAAUUGUAACAUAUUAUGUAGAUUUUGUAGAUUUUAUUACUUCCCCAUGGUUUUAACAUGUCAGAGUUAGAGAAUCAUCAUGCAGCUGCAUCUCCGUUAGGAUCAGGGGACGUUCCCCGUUUAUAAGACCAAAUGAGUAUAAUAUUUUAGAGUUAGUUCUUUUUUGACUGAAAGUCUGCCAAAAUUUACAAUGGUUGUGAGGCUUCUUGCUGUGAUUUGUCGGCUGAAGUAGCAGAGAUCAUCGUGGCUAAAUCCUUUUUGUAUGGUGUGAAAGGCUGCUGAUUGUCUGAACAUUCUUUAUUCUGCAAAUGAGUGUAAAUCUUGUCUGCCACUUGACUAUUAAUGAUUAUUUACAACAUUUGAAGAUGUGAGCAUAUGCAUUAUGUAUCCGAAUCUGGUAUGUUGUGAAGGUUUUUAAGUGACCAAGCACAUUUCUCAUUUGGCUGCUCAGUCUGUAUCUAUACACAAAACCACCCCGUGGGCAUGUACAUUUCUAGCUCUGUUUGAAGCCAUCUCUGUGCAACCAUUUUGUUCUCCAUCCAAAUUGGAUUCCCCUGUCACAAUACAUACUUAUUUUAAAUUAUCUUUUGAACAAAGUUCAUUCUGGAUGAGAAUUAUGUUUGUAUUUUGACUAUGAGUCACAAAGUUUUGGCGUGGUAGCUGACAGGGCUACUGACGGCGGUGGCGUGUGGCUUCUGGGACAACAACAUCAAGUGCUUCGUGUACACAUUGCACUCCAAAUGUCCGACAAAAUGUCCACACUAAAGACGGAUUCAAAUGAAAAGGAAAACAUUGCUACGUGGACAUGACCCGGUCGAAACCAUGCCGAGUCAGCUUCAGCUGAGUCGAGGGACAAAACUUCUUUGGUUUGAAAAGUUCAAGUUGCAAGUUGUCCUGUUUUUAAGUUGAGAGUAUUUAAGGUUUACUGGGCUGGCCUGCUUGUUGUUUGGCCCACGGGCAAUUUUUCUGCCUGGCCCGCUCGCUGUAGAAUAUCAAGCGGCAGGCAUCGGUCCCCUGCUAUUCCUCUUCCUCGGCAUCUCGGUCUGGUGGUCGAACCCUUCCUUGAGAGACGAACCCUAGCGUUUGCGUGCUGGUUUGAAGGCAUGAGGGGAGAUCGCAUCAACGAUCCUGUGAACAUUAGCUCUGAUGAGAACGCGGACAGCAGCUCUGAUGAAGCUGUGGACACGAGCUCUGAUGAACCCGCGUACACCAGCUCUGAUGAAGGUGUGGACAUGAGCUCUGAUGAACGGGCGUACAGCAGCUCUGAUGAUGGCGUGGACACAAGCUCUGAUGAAGGCAUGUGCUACCGUAUGAAGAAAAAGAAGCUUCAGAAGACGUGCAAGGAUGUGUGUGACUGCCCUAGAGAGUACUCAGUUGGAUAUGAUCCUAAUUCUGAAGCCGACUAGAUGUAUUCAAAGAAAUUUAUGAUGUCAAAGUGUGCUCGAAAACGUCUUAGCUGCUAUGUUCGUUCUGUUAAGCCUGCUAUUAGGCACUAUGUGUGUGAGAUGAACAAGACUUUCACCAAAGCUGGGCAGAGAAUGUACUUCUCUACUUUGUUCACUGAGAAGCACCUCAUGAAGUUUCUCUCCAGUCCGGUUGAUCGAAUGCGGAUUAAGCUUUCAUCUGGGCGUUGUUUAACCUAUGUUCAACUGAUGAAAGGGGUUGAUAAGAGGGCUGCUAUAACACAUAACUGGAGCCGCUUCGUGGAAAGAGCGAAGCUGAAAGAACGGGAAAUCUGUGUCUUUUCUCUCCGACAUUGCAAGGGGGUGCCAGUGUUCACUGUGCACAAAAUCUGAAGAGGUUUCUGUGAUGCAGUUUGGAAGUAGGAAGAUGGGAAGGUGUUCUGCAAGGGCAUGUAGAUAUGUUCUCUAGUACUCCCUCCGUUUUUAUUUACUUCGCAUAUUAGCACUAAAGUUUGACCAAGUUUAUAGAAGAAAAUAUAAAUAUUUACCAUAAGAAAUUUAUACUAUGUGGAAGUACAUUUGAUAAUGAAUCUAAUGGUGUUGAUUUCUUAUUGUAUAUGUUAAUAUUUUUGUCUA